GACGAACGCUGGCGGCGUGCUUAACACAUGCAAGUCGAACGGAAAGGCCCUGCUUUUGUGGGGUGCUCGAGUGGCGAACGGGUGAGUAACACGUGAGUAACCUGCCCUUGACUUUGGGAUAACUUCAGGAAACUGGGGCUAAUACCGGAUAGGAGCUCCUGCUGCAUGGUGGGGGUUGGAAAGUUUCGGCGGUUGGGGAUGGACUCGCGGCUUAUCAGCUUGUUGGUGGGGUAGUGGCUUACCAAGGCUUUGACGGGUAGCCGGCCUGAGAGGGUGACCGGCCACAUUGGGACUGAGAUACGGACCAGAAUCCUACGGGAGGCAGCAGUGGGGAAUAUUGCACAAUGGGCGGAAGCCUGAUGCAGCAACGCCGCGUGCGGGAUGCCGGCCUUCGGGUUGUAAACCGAUUUCGACUGUGACGAAGCGUGAGUGACGGUAAUGGGUAAAGAAGCACCGGCUAACUACGUG
This 468-nucleotide ribosomal RNA is filed under the name uncultured bacterium. Its description in RNAcentral is "partial 16S ribosomal RNA". It matches the Rfam family "Bacterial small subunit ribosomal RNA", at positions 28 to 507 of the family's 1533-position model. The record is from RNAcentral.